Long non-coding RNA from Artibeus jamaicensis (Jamaican fruit-eating bat), 374 nucleotides. RefSeq lists it as uncharacterized. Lineage: Eukaryota; Metazoa; Chordata; Mammalia; Chiroptera; Phyllostomidae. The transcript is spliced from 2 exons. The record is from RefSeq and is a predicted model, not a curated record.
CUCCUUCUGUGUAAUGACCCUUUGCCCAGUUGUUCCCUGCACCGGUUUGUCCUGUAAUAAGCAAGAGUAGAGAAUGCAACUUAAAUAAGAGCUACACGCCAAAAAAUCAAAUAGUUGAUCUAUAAUCACAGAGGCAUGGACACAUGGAACAGACUGAUGGCUGUCAGAGGGGAGCGGAAGAGGGGACUCGAUGAAAGAUGGUGAAGGGACCAGCCAAAGAACAUAUGUAUAACCCAUGGACACUCAACAGUGUGGUGAUGGCCUGGAGGAAGGGGGAGCAGGGGCUGGGAGGAGGGUCACAAAACGGGGAAAAUUUGGGACAUGUGCAAUAGUAUCAAUGAAAAUAAAGAAAAAAUAAAGUUGCUAUGACCUUU